This is a long non-coding RNA of Centruroides sculpturatus (bark scorpion), 1460 nucleotides long. RefSeq lists it as uncharacterized. The transcript is spliced from 3 exons. NCBI's taxonomy places the organism in Eukaryota, Metazoa, Arthropoda, Arachnida, Scorpiones, Buthidae. The record is from RefSeq and is a predicted model, not a curated record.
UUGUUUUCUUUCAGACUAAGUAUUAUUUUAAUUCCUUCAUUAACUACAAUGUAUAUCCAUUUAUAAAGCAGUGAAUGUUUAUUAUACUAACAUUUUCGGCCUUAUUAAAAAAGGCUUUGAAAAGUACCCGUACGGAGAAAAGCAUUGAAAUGAAACUCAUUUUAUUCUCGCAACAAUAUUAAUGUUUUAUAGGAAAUAUAAAAUAAUCUGUCACAUUAUUUUAUAUUUCAUUUUCAAAAGUCGUAAUGCAAACAAACCGUUUUUGCUUGUUUUUAUAGAUAAAUUUUGUUUUAUUAUUACUAUUAUUAUUAAGAAUGUAUACACAAGAACUUGUAAUAAAGAAAUGUAAAGAGAAAUAAUGACUUUCUCGACAUUAUUUGCAACAAAAUCAAUCGAUGAAGUGUAUUUUCUAUCAAAGGCUCCUUCAUGAACUAACAAGCCUUCAAUAUUUCUCGUAAGUUAAUACAAUGUUUUGUAGUUUCUUUAAAAUGUUAAUUACAACACAAAAUUUUUUUAAAAAUUUACAUUUUGUAGAGAAUGUUUUCUUCGUUUAUAUUUCAAAUGUUUAAAUUUUGUUAGCCGUUUUAGUAAUGUACUUCAACGAAAUAUGAUUGUCACCUUUUCUAAUGCAUAAUAUGAUAAACACUGAUGCCAUUUUCCAUCCUUUCCAGUUCUUCUAUCGAAUAGGGUUGCUGUAAUCUCAGUCCCUAAUGGAAUAGGAAAAUUAAGUUGUAGUAUUUGAAAAAUAUGCGCUUUUAUUGCAUUAGAAACAUCAUGUAGUGUCUUGGAAGUCUGUUAAUUAAAUUUGACAGGUGAAUUACUUCGCUGCUCAAGGGGCUAGCGGCGCUUUACUGAAUACAUAAAUACAAUGCGGGAGUGGUUCAUGUGCGAUUACUUUAGCUUAGCAAUGAUAAGGAUAUGCAAAUAAUUCGAUUUAAUAUACAAUAUCAAACGCUGUAAAAUAAAACAGAGCUAACCUAAUCAUCGUAUCAUUACUAACUUAAACCUAACUGCCCAUUUAAUCAUUGCAAUUUUGUUAUGCAGGGAUGCCCUUCUGUGUUAUGCAGAGAAGCCUCUAUUUAUCGAAUUUGACAGUCCAUUCCGGGUACCUAUUUCGAAUAAUUCAGAUUACACUGAAAGUUAAUAAUACGUAUUUUUUCAUGUGCUAUAAGGUUAUAAUUGACAUUGUUUCCCAAUUUUCUUUACAGGCUGAGAUACAAAAUUCAAAAGUCACUUGCAGAGACGUUCGAGUGUCACCGAAUUCGAACGACCCGAGCUACUAAUGUCGUCUUGUAUCAAGUAAUGUGCCAAUAAAGUUUUAUUCCCGGAACUUUUUUAGAAAAUUACGUAAAAGCGAAUGGUAAAGGAAAUAUUUCCAGUUUAUCAAUAUAUAUUCAAAAAUAAUAAGAAAAUGAAUAAAGUUCAAGUAUUUUCAUCUCAAGAUGAAUCUGAAAGCAAUG